UGCGUAGGCGGGCUAAUAAGUCAGUGGUGAAAUCUUCCGGCUUAACCGGGAAACUGCCAUUGAUACUAUUAGUCUUGAGUUCGGUUGAGGUAGGCGGAAUGUGUAAUGUAGCGGUGAAAUGCUUAGAUAUUACACAGAACACCAAUUGCGUAGGCAGCUUACUAGACCGACACUGACGCUGAGGCACGAAAGCGUGGGGAGCGAACAGGAUUAGAUACCCUGGUAGUCC
Molecule: ribosomal RNA, 229 nt
Filed under: uncultured bacterium
Lineage: Bacteria
Description: partial 16S ribosomal RNA
Rfam family: Bacterial small subunit ribosomal RNA
Source: RNAcentral